RNAcentral lists this ribosomal RNA (253 nucleotides) under uncultured bacterium. RNAcentral's name for it is "partial 16S ribosomal RNA". It matches the Rfam family "Bacterial small subunit ribosomal RNA", at positions 524 to 776 of the family's 1533-position model. The record is from RNAcentral.
UACGUAGGGUGCGAGCGUUAAUCGGAAUUACUGGGCGUAAAGCGUGCGCAGGCGGUUUUGUAAGCCGGAUGUGAAAUCCCCGGGCUUAACCUGGGAAUGGCAUUCGGGACUGCAAGGCUGGAGUGCGGCAGAGGAGACUGGAAUUCCUGGUGUAGCAGUGAAAUGCGUAGAUAUCGGGAGGAACACCAGUAGCGAAGGCGGCACUCUGGGCCGUGACUGACGCUGAGGAGCGAAAGCGUGGGUAGCAAACAGG